CAACAUCUUCCACCAGGCGCGUUUCUUCAGGCAGCAGACAGACCCUGGCGGCAAGGAGUCCUGGGUCAGCAACGACACCUACUGGAAGCUGCGGGCAGAGCCUGGCUAUGCCAACCUCGACAGCCCCGUGCUGUGGUAGCAGCGGGCAUCCCGGGGGCCGCCCUGCCUUCCAGGCACAUAGGGACUAGUGGGCAGGGUCUGGGGGCACCACAGCGCUGGACAUAUGCAAGGAGGGCAGGGCACUGGAUCCCAGCUGCCCCCUCCGGGGUCUGCUGGGACGUUAGGCCAGGUGCCGCGGCAGUGCCCCCCCGUGAACAGGGUGUGAAAGGUGUCCUGGCCCUUCCCGGGUCCACCCUGCUCCCAUCCCAUGCCCAUCGCUGCUGUCUGCUGGCUGGACAGCCUGCCCCUGCUGGCACCUCGAGGACUGCUGGGGGUGCCAACCCCUUGCACGUAUUUCUGCCUUCCCCCCACAGGGGGCACCAUGAUCUGGUGGGGGGGGGGAGUGGGAGGAAGCUUUUAUUUUUCAAAUUCUUUGUAUUAAUUUAAACAAAACUGUGCAGACAGGGGCCUGAAUCCGGGCAAGUGAACUGCAGCAAAUGAGACUGUGUGCAUAGCAGGGGGCCGGAUCUUCCUGCACGGAAAAGCCAUUCCUCAGCAUAGCCCUGGCCUUGGAGCCGGGAGCAGCCAGGCGAUGACCUGAGCAGCUGUGUUACCUAAUGGUUGGACCCAGGACUCCUGGGUUCCAUUCCCAGCUCCAGGACGGGCGUGGAGUCCAGGGGUUAGAGCUGAGGAGAUUUGGGAGGUUUGGUUCCAGGCUCACCCAGGGCUGUACGGAUGGGUGAGGAGUGGGGCAGGACGUGGGCGUUAAUGACUGACGGUCCGUAGAGCCAUCGUGCACCCAUCUGUUCCAGGGAUGGCGUGUUCUGUGCCGGUGAGCUGGGAGUUGUUCUCCUUGGGCCCCUGAAUCUGCUCAGGGCCUUUGGCAGUCCUUUUCUUCCGUUUUUGGGAGGCCGUGGGGGGCAUGUUCAGAAAGCACCCCUGGGGCUCUGAUGCUUUGGGGGGUGUCCUGGGAAGAAGCUGCUGGAGUGCUCCCGUCACUUACCUGCAGGGAGCAAUGUGGAGCUGGGAGGAAGGCGGCCAGCAUGGGGGGCAGGGAUCCCCCAUGUGGCUUGGGGUCAGCCUGCAGGUGGGCAGACCCUGCGCCCUCCCUCCAGGCCCCGUCUGGCUGGGUUUGGCCAUUUCUUUGAUGAAACAUUCCACACUUCUAAUAAAGGAUCUGG
Molecule: long non-coding RNA, 1280 nt
Filed under: Gopherus evgoodei (Goodes thornscrub tortoise)
Lineage: Eukaryota; Metazoa; Chordata; Testudines; Testudinidae
Description: lncRNA (ENSGEVG00005017254.1)
Source: RNAcentral